This 775-nucleotide ribosomal RNA is filed under the name uncultured bacterium. Its description in RNAcentral is "bacterial SSU rRNA". It matches the Rfam family "Bacterial small subunit ribosomal RNA", at positions 46 to 823 of the family's 1533-position model. The record is from RNAcentral.
GCCUAAUACAUGCAAGUCGAACGGGAUUGAGAGCUUGCUUUCAUGAGAGUGGCGUACGGGUGCGUAACGCGUAUGCAACCUACCUUCAUCAGGGGGAUAGCCCGAAGAAAUUCGGAUUAACACCGCAUAAAAACACAGCUUGGCAUCAAGCAAUGUUCAAAUAUUUAUAGGAUGAAGAUGGGCAUGCGUGUCAUUAGCUAGUUGGUAAGGUAACGGCUUACCAAGGCUACGAUGACUAGGGGAUCUGAGAGGAUGACCCCCCACACUGGUACUGAGACACGGACCAGACUCCUACGGGAGGCAGCAGUAAGGAAUAUUGGUCAAUGGAGGCAACUCUGAACCAGCCAUGCCGCGUGCAGGAAGACUGCCUUAUGGGUUGUAAACUGCUUUUAUACGGGAAUAAACCUUAAUUCGUGAAUUAAGCUGAAUGUACCGUAAGAAUAAGGAUCGGCUAACUCCGUGCCAGCAGCCGCGGUAAUACGGAGGAUCCAAGCGUUAUCCGGAUUUAUUGGGUUUAAAGGGAGCGUAGGCGGCUUGUUAAGUCAGGGGUGAAAGACGGUGGCUCAACCAUCGCAGUGCCUUUGAUACUGACGAGCUUGAAUAUAGUUGAGGUAGGCGGAAUGUGACAAGUAGCGGUGAAAUGCAUAGAUAUGUCACAGACACCGAUGCGAAGGCAGCUUACUAAGCUAUUAUUGACGCUGAGGCUCGAAAGCGUGGGGAUCAAACAGGAUUAGAUACCCUGGUAGUCCACGCCCUAAACGAUGAUACUCGAUGU